RNAcentral lists this ribosomal RNA (253 nucleotides) under uncultured bacterium. Its description in RNAcentral is "partial 16S ribosomal RNA". It matches the Rfam family "Bacterial small subunit ribosomal RNA", at positions 524 to 776 of the family's 1533-position model. The record is from RNAcentral.
UACGAAGGGGGCUAGCGUUGCUCGGAAUGACUGGGCGUAAAGGGCGCGUAGGCGGAGUGCUUUGUCGGGCGUGAAAUUCCAGGGCUCAACCUUGGGGCUGCGUUCGAGACGGGCAUUCUAGAGUGGAGAAGAGGGUCGUGGAAUUCCCAGUGUAGAGGUGAAAUUCGUAGAUAUUGGGAAGAACACCGGUGGCGAAGGCGGCUCACUGGCUCGUAACUGACGCUCAUGCACGACAGCGUGGGGAUCAAACAGG